RNAcentral lists this ribosomal RNA (486 nucleotides) under uncultured bacterium. RNAcentral describes it as "partial 16S ribosomal RNA". It matches the Rfam family "Bacterial small subunit ribosomal RNA", at positions 29 to 507 of the family's 1533-position model. The record is from RNAcentral.
AUUGAACGCUGGCGGCAUGCCUUACACAUGCAAGUCGAACGGCAGCACGGGGGGUAACCCCUGGUGGCGAGUGGCGAACGGGUGAGUAAUAUAUCGGAACGUGUCCUGUAGCGGGGGAUAACCUAUCGAAAGAUGGACUAAUACCGCAUACGACCUACGGGUGAAAGCGGAGGACCGCAAGGCUUCGCACUAUAGGAGCGGCCGAUAUCGGAUUAGCUAGUUGGCGGGGUAACGGCCCACCAAGGCGACGAUCCGUAGCUGGUCUGAGAGGACGAUCAGCCACACUGGAACUGAGACACGGUCCAGACUCCUACGGGAGGCAGCAGUGGGGAAUUUUGGACAAUGGGCGCAAGCCUGAUCCAGCCAUGCCGCGUGAGUGAAGAAGGCCUUCGGGCUGUAAAGCUCUUUCGGCGGGGACGAAACGGUUCGUGCUAAUACCACGGACUACUGACGGUACCCGCAGAAGAAGCACCGGCUAACUACGUG